Molecule: transfer RNA, 64 nt
Filed under: Espanoliella jeanneli
Lineage: Eukaryota; Metazoa; Arthropoda; Insecta; Coleoptera; Leiodidae
Description: tRNA-Tyr
Rfam family: tRNA
About the family: Transfer RNA (tRNA) molecules are approximately 80 nucleotides in length. Their secondary structure includes four short double-helical elements and three loops (D, anti-codon, and T loops).
Source: RNAcentral
GGUGAAAUGGCUGAGUUAGGCAAUAAACUGUAAAUUUAUCUACGAAAAUCAUUUUCUUUCACCA